This 726-nucleotide long non-coding RNA is filed under the name Homo sapiens (human). RNAcentral describes it as "non-protein coding lnc-AGRP-1:3". Lineage: Eukaryota; Metazoa; Chordata; Mammalia; Primates; Hominidae. The record is from RNAcentral.
CUCCCAAACCAGCUGUGUGACCUUGAGAAUACUACUAACCUCUCUGGGCCUGUUUCUGCAUCUGCCAGAUGGUCAUAACCCUCCUCAGAUGCUGUGCGUUGGCCGAAUGCGGCAGGCCCAGGGCGCGGCCCCGCAGACUGCAGCCAGGGCACAAGUAUUGUUACACGAGGCUGCGCACAGUAGGUGCUGGGGCGGCCAGCCUGGACACACGUUAGAACUGGCUGGGGAGGGUCUGUAGGGGAGGCCGGACUCAGGGCUCACCCUGGAGAGGAGGACAAAGGGUGCUGAAUCUGGACUGAAUCCGACCUCUAGCCCUGGGCUGGGCCGUGGGAGUGCUGGCCAACGUGCCAGGCAGGGAGGACCUGAAUUCCUGAAGGUGGUGGUGGCAGCUGUUAGGGUCCACAGGUUAAUGAUCUCCAACGUCACACAGAAGAGAAUGUGCUGAGGUGUGACCUCCCUCACCCUGCCUUGGCUGCGUGGGGCACCGUCUCUCCAGGACUCACCCUGCCCCCCAAUAGACUGAAGUCUGAAGAUCAGCCCAGUCUUCCUUCAGGCCUCAAUGCCCUCUCACUUCCCCAGCCCGAGGGACUCCUGGCUCUUCUCGGAGGCUGCUCUGUGGGGUCCCUCCCUUGGGCCUUUGCUAAUGCUGUGCCCUCUGCCUGUGCCAGAGGUGGGCCUGGGCCCGUUUCUCAGGGAGCUCCUGAACACCAAGAAAUUGAAUUGCUU